This 372-nucleotide ribosomal RNA is filed under the name uncultured organism. RNAcentral describes it as "bacterial SSU rRNA". It matches the Rfam family "Bacterial small subunit ribosomal RNA", at positions 526 to 896 of the family's 1533-position model. The record is from RNAcentral.
CAGGGGGUGCAAACGUUGCUCGGAAUUAUUGGGCGUAAAGCGCGCGUAGGCGGUGACUCAAGUCGGAUGUGAAAGCCCUUGGCUUAACCGAGGAAGUGCAUCCGAAACUGAGUCGCUAGAGUACGAUAGAGGGUCGCGGAAUUCCCGGUGUAGAGGUGAAAUUCGUAGAUAUCGGGAGGAACACCGGUGGCGAAGGCGGCGACCUGGGUCGAUACUGACGCUGAGGCGCGAAAGCGUGGGGAGCAAACAGGAUUAGAUACCCUGGUAGUCCACGCCGUAAACGAUGGGUGCUAGAUGUUCCUGGUAUUGACCCCGGGGGCGUCGUAGCUAACGCGUUAAGCACCCCGCCUGGGGAGUACGGCCGCAAGGCUA